ACGGGAAGAGCCCAAACCAACAAGCUUGCUUGUUGGGGUUGUAGGACACUCUAUACGGAGUUACAAAGGACGACAUUAGACGAAUCAUCUGGAAAGAUGAAUCAAAGAAGGUAAUAAUCCUGUAGUCGAAAAUGUUGUCUCUCUUGAGUGGAUCCUGAGUACGACGGAGCACGUGAAAUUCCGUCGGAAUCUGGGAGGACCAUCUCCUAAGGCUAAAUACUCUCUAGUGACCGAUAGUGAACCAGUACCGUGAGGGAAAGGUGAAAAGCACCCCGGAAGGGGAGUGAAAUAGAACCUGAAACCGUGUGCUUACAAGUAGUCAGAGCCCGUUAAUGGGUGAUGGCGUGCCUUUUGUAGAAUGAACCGGCGAGUUACGAUUUGAUGCAAGGUUAAGCAGUAAAUGUGGAGCCGUAGCGAAAGCGAGUCUGAAUAGGGCGUUUAGUAUUUGGUCGUAGACCCGAAACCAGGUGAUCUACCCUUGGUCAGGUUGAAGUUCAGGUAACACUGAAUGGAGGACCGAACCGACUUACGUUGAAAAGUGAGCGGAUGAACUGAGGGUAGCGGAGAAAUUCCAAUCGAACCUGGAGAUAGCUGGUUCUCUCCGAAAUAGCUUUAGGGCUAGCCUCAAGUGAUGAUUAUUGGAGGUAGAGCACUGUUUGGACGAGGGGCCCCUCUCGGGUUACCGAAUUCAGACAAACUCCGAAUGCCAAUUAAUUUAACUUGGGAGUCAGAACA
This 735-nucleotide ribosomal RNA is filed under the name Staphylococcus aureus. Its description in RNAcentral is "partial 23S ribosomal RNA". It matches the Rfam family "Bacterial large subunit ribosomal RNA", at positions 258 to 991 of the family's 2925-position model. The record is from RNAcentral. Lineage: Bacteria; Bacillati; Bacillota; Bacilli; Caryophanales; Staphylococcaceae.